ACCAGGUAGCAUUCCUCUUUGCUGCCGGCACCGCAUGAGCAAUAGGACGGAUACCAUCCUAGAGUCCACCCGGGGCACGCCAGGCUUCUGUAAGGGACAAUUGAUUCGGGCAAAAAAGGGACAAGGACCCCAACCGAUCAUGCUUCUACAUACAAGACUUCGAGCGACACUUGGGCGUCCGACGCCUGCAAGCCACAUAGGCGAAGCAAGGGCGGACGUCCAUGGGUGCUUCAGGGUCUACACCGCACAAAACAUUUUCGCACGAGAUAGAGUAGGGACCGUGGGACUAGAGAAUUCCGUCAAAACAGGUAUGCUGCACAGGGGGCCAAGCCUAUCCAAGCCGAAAUAUUUAGCACUCGGACAGAAUUGAACAGGUGUGAACCAGCGGUUGUCGCUACCGGGGCAGGGAACCAACCAACCGGAACAUACC
Molecule: unclassified non-coding RNA, 430 nt
Filed under: Cachrys cristata
Lineage: Eukaryota; Viridiplantae; Streptophyta; Magnoliopsida; Apiales; Apiaceae
Description: partial external transcribed spacer
Source: RNAcentral